Molecule: ribosomal RNA, 741 nt
Filed under: Triticum aestivum (bread wheat)
Lineage: Eukaryota; Viridiplantae; Streptophyta; Magnoliopsida; Poales; Poaceae
Description: partial small subunit ribosomal RNA
Source: RNAcentral
AUGAUCGUGCCGAUGGAGCCGAUCAACCACGUCGACGACGGCAACGGCGAUCAGCCGGCCUCCCACGCAGCUCGCCAGCGGCGUCCGAAGUUCCCAAACAUGGUAGCGGUGCCACUCCUGAAGAAGGCGACGGCGGAGUUUCUCGGGACGUUCAUCCUGAUGUUCACCCAGGUGUCGGCCAUUAUCAUAGACGACCAGCACGACGGCGUGGAGGGCCUGAUGGGCAUCGCCGUGUCCGUGGGCCUGGCGGUCACGGUGCUCGUCUUCUCCACCAUCCAUGUAUCUGGGUGCCACCUGAACCCCGCGGUGAGCAUCGCCAUGGCGGCCUUCGGCCACCUCCCGCCGGCCCACCUCGCCCCCUACGUCACCGCGCAGGUGCUGGGCUCCACCGCCGCCUCGUUCGUGGGCAACGCCAUCUACCACCCCGUGAACCCCGGCAUCGCCACCGUCCCGAGCGUCGGCGCCGUCGAGUUCAUCAUCACCUUCGUCCUUCUCUUCGUCAUAACCGCUGUGGCCACGGAUCCUCAUGCAGUGAAAGAACUGAUCGCGGUGGCAGUUGGCGCGACGGUAGUGAUGAAUAUUCUCGUCGCAGGGCCAUCAACAGGUGCAUCUAUGAACCCUGGGCGUACGAUUGGACCGGCGAUUGUUACGGGGAGAUACAACAAGAUUUGGGUUUAUCUGGUGGCUCAACCACUGGGUGCUAUUGCAGGAGCUGGAUCCUACGUUGCAAUUAAGCUGUAG